Molecule: long non-coding RNA, 265 nt
Filed under: Ananas comosus (pineapple)
Lineage: Eukaryota; Viridiplantae; Streptophyta; Magnoliopsida; Poales; Bromeliaceae
Description: long non-coding RNA (ACOM_LNC036734)
Source: RNAcentral
GAAUAGGGAUAGGGAUAUGCCCUUAUCCCCCCUUUAUACCCAAACGCUAAUUUUUUAUCCGAGAAUAGUAGUUCUCGCUUAUACCCACCAACACCUCCAUUUUCUAUAUAAAACUUCCUAAUAUUUUUCUUAUCCUCGGGAACAACCCAAUUUUCAUCCAAACGCUAUUUUUCUUAUCCCCAUACUUGUACCUAUCCCUGUAAUAGCUAGUUCUUGCUUAUACCUGUUGUACAUAUAUAAAAAGAAAAAUAAAAUAAAUUAAAAU